This 227-nucleotide long non-coding RNA is filed under the name Ananas comosus (pineapple). RNAcentral's name for it is "long non-coding RNA (ACOM_LNC010575)". The record is from RNAcentral. Lineage: Eukaryota; Viridiplantae; Streptophyta; Magnoliopsida; Poales; Bromeliaceae.
UAACUUUGAAGUUUAAAUUAUGUGAUAAAACUAAUCAAAAGACAUGCGAAAUCAAAAUAGAUGUUUUUUACAAUGUAAAAAAUUCAACUACCAAAUAUUAUAUUAUUCUUAAAAAAUUGUUUGUGAACUAAAGCGAAAAAUAUACAAAGUUUGGGAAUUAAUGAUGUUAAUAGUUCUAAUAAAUAAAUAAAAGUUUAGGAUUAAUGAUGUUAAUAUUGUGAGAGAGA